UCCUCCCUAUAAAAGCAGCCUCUGAGCCUUUUCAAACCAUCUUCCCUCCUCCGGGAAACAACUGUAAACCUUGCUCUGUUCAUCAGAUUUACACUACCAGGAAUGGAGCGUCUGAUGGUUCUGAUGUUGCUGUGCUCUGCCCUGGCACUGACCCACGGAUACUGUUAUAGAGUACAACUUCGCAGGAUCUCAAAGUUUGGUCCCAGAAAUAAAUGCAUUGAUGAAACUGAUAAUAAAAUAUACAAGUUGGGCUCCAAAUGGCAAAACAGCCAGUGUGAGACUUGUCUCUGCAUGAAGGAUGCCAUGAGCUGCUGUGAAACAUCAGGUGAGUGCUACUGAAGGACUAAGGAUCCCCAAAAGAGCCUCCUUUGGUUCUCUGUUGGAGCAUAACUGAUAUUUGUGCCUCUUGGAAAUAAUCAUAUAAUAAACAGUGACACAUAAAUCACAAA
Molecule: long non-coding RNA, 449 nt
Organism: Antechinus flavipes (yellow-footed antechinus)
Lineage: Eukaryota; Metazoa; Chordata; Mammalia; Dasyuromorphia; Dasyuridae
Exons: 4
Source: RefSeq, a predicted model, not a curated record